AGUGAACGCUGGCGGUAGGCCUAACACAUGCAAGUCGAACGGCAGCACAGUAAGAGCUUGCUCUUACGGGUGGCGAGUGGCGGACGGGUGAGGAAUACAUCGGAAUCUACUUUUUCGUGGGGGAUAACGUAGGGAAACUUACGCUAAUACCGCAUACGACCUACGGGUGAAAGCAGGGGAUCUUCGGACCUUGCGCGAUUGAAUGAGCCGAUGUCGGAUUAGCUAGUUGGCGGGGUAAAGGCCCACCAAGGCGACGAUCCGUAGCUGAUCUGAGAGGAUGAUCGGCCACACUGGAACUGAGACACGGUCCAGACUCCUACGGGAGGCAGCAGUGGGGAAUAUUGGGCAAUGGGCGAAAGCCUGAUCCAGCCAUGCCGCGUGAGUGAAGAAGGCCUUCGGGUCGUAAAGCCCUUUUGUUGGGAAAGAAAAGCAGCGGGUUAAUACCCCGCUGUUCUGACGGUACCCAAUGAAUAAGCACCGGCUAACUUCGUG
This 492-nucleotide ribosomal RNA is filed under the name uncultured bacterium. RNAcentral describes it as "partial 16S ribosomal RNA". It matches the Rfam family "Bacterial small subunit ribosomal RNA", at positions 29 to 507 of the family's 1533-position model. The record is from RNAcentral.